AAUAGAUACCCUGGUAGUCCACGCCGUAAACGGUGGGCGCUAGGUGUGGGGGACUUUCCACGUCCUCUGUGCCGCAGCUAACGCAUUAAGCGCCCCGCCUGGGGAGUACGGCCGCAAGGCUAAAACUCAAAGGAAUUGACGGGGGCCCGCACAAGCGGCGGAGCAUGUGGCUUAAUUCGACGCAACGCGAAGAACCUUACCAAGGCUUGACAUGCAGAGAAAUCUCGUAGAGAUACGGGGUCCGCAAGGGCUUUGCACAGGUGGUGCAUGGUUGUCGUCAGCUCGUGUCGUGAGAUGUUGGGUUAAGUCCCGCAACGAGCGCAACCCUUGUCCUAUGUUGCCAGCGAGUAAUGUCGGGGACUCAUAGGAGACUGCCGGGGUCAACUCGGAGGAAGGUGGGGAUGACGUCAAAUCAUCAUGCCCCUUAUGUCUUGGGCUGCACACAUGCUACAAUGGUCGGUACAAAGGGCUGCGAGACCGCAAGGUGGAGCGAAUCCCAAAAAGCCGGCCUCAGUUCGGAUUAGGGU
Molecule: ribosomal RNA, 527 nt
Filed under: uncultured bacterium
Lineage: Bacteria
Description: bacterial SSU rRNA
Rfam family: Bacterial small subunit ribosomal RNA
Source: RNAcentral